This 1382-nucleotide long non-coding RNA is filed under the name Selaginella moellendorffii. RNAcentral's name for it is "long non-coding RNA (SMOE_LNC000463)". Lineage: Eukaryota; Viridiplantae; Streptophyta; Lycopodiopsida; Selaginellales; Selaginellaceae. The record is from RNAcentral.
GGUUCCGCUGUAGGUUUCUCGCCAUAGCUUUUUCUCUCUCGGCCGCUUAGCCGAUGCUUCUCCAACGACGGGCGCGUUGCAAGUCAAGGUAAGAAAAAAGCUAGGCUCAGGUGAAAAAAAAGACGAAAGAAGAGAGGCUCAGGUGAAAAAAAAGAGUGGCUCAGAAUUAUCUAUCAGAUUAUCUGCCGCUUAGCUGGCUUCUCCAACUGCAUUGAGCGCGACGGAAGAAAAAGCUAAGGUAGGAAAGAAGAGAGGCUCAGGUGAAAAAAAAGAGUGGCUCAGAAUUAUCUACCAGGUUAUCUGUCAUUUAAUUCCUUCAGAGAGGAAUUCCCAGAUAGCAUUUUUCAUCAUUGCCAUCUGCCAAGAGAGUUGAACCUCGUACUACCUCCUCAGAAGCAGAACGAGCUAACGGCAGCUCAACGUUGGUGUUAACAAAAUUUUGGUAAGUUAAAAAGAAGGAAAAAUCCAACUCACCAUCUAUUUAUUUUUUUUUGUAGAAAACUCGAGACGAGAGAUUUUUCAAAAGGCUAAAAUGCGAGCUCACGGGACUGGAGGUCAAAGGCAGUCCUCUUUUUCCUUCCCUAGAAGCCUGACGUUGCAAUCGUUUACUGGCAGGGGGAUCAUGUACACGUUUUCCGCGGAGCGAUCCUUGUAUAUGUUCUAUGCGGGUGCGUACUUUGUUCUUCGAAUCAUCACUGGAGGUGCUGCUGCUCAAGCGGACCUCUGUUGGUAUCUUCUUUUGAACAAGGGAUGAGACUGCUCCAUACCAUAUGAUAGGUGCAGGGGGAUUUGCAGCCAUAUGGUCCAAAGUGAGUUGUCGAGAAUGGAUCCUCAAAGACCUGAGAAAGGCCAAGGACCUCGUGAACUUGGUCAAACGUUCGAAAGACCAAGGAUCCUCGCGAUCAGUAGCACGAAAGAGUGGAUCCACCGCGACCUUGUUUCCGCGUAUGGUGAGCACUGGCGAGAAGAGCUGAAGGUGGCAGGACCUUCUUUCUGCUGGCACUCAGCUGCGAUCCAAGAAAUACCCCGACUCCCGCUGUAUCCAGAUGGCCAGGAUUAGCAGCGAGCAAACCCGAAGAUGUAAUAUAUUAUAUUAUUUUUCCAAAACUAAUUAAGAAUGCUGCGCUUGCAGUGAAGAGCUAAUCUGAAUCUCUUGAGACGCUGCUGCCACUCUCGCCACCGCCGCGGCUCCUCUGCUUGAGCUUCGCACACCCUGGACCGCGCUCGCACUCACAGCUCGUAGUCCCGAGAUGGUAAACUCCGGUGAUUGAAAUUUUUUUCACAAACGUGGGCAAGUGACGUGGCAAUCUUGGCUAUGUGGCAAGUAUUGAUGUGCCACAUCACUUGCCACAUACACGCUCUCCCCUCGCGACGGAGCUGAG